Long non-coding RNA from Erigeron canadensis, 1048 nucleotides. RefSeq lists it as uncharacterized. The record is from RefSeq and is a predicted model, not a curated record. NCBI's taxonomy places the organism in Eukaryota, Viridiplantae, Streptophyta, Magnoliopsida, Asterales, Asteraceae. The transcript has 4 exons.
CCAUAUUCACAAAUCAAUAUUCACAAAUCAUCUCACCAUUUUCACAAAUCAAUGUUCACAAAUCAAUGCAUACACCCCUAAAUUCAUAUAUUCUGUAUUUCUGUAUCUAUCUAUCAUUAUCAAGCCCGCCUAAAUAAUUGAUAGAAAUUUUCGCGCUUCGAAAUUCACGGCACCGAUUUUAUUACUGUAUCCAACAUCAAAACACCGAUUUUGCUGUCAUUGUCAAAACACCGAUUUUUAGUACAUUUCGAACUGAAUAGGUCUGAUGUUCAUGUUAGUCCUGAUGCCGAUAACCAACCAAAAUCACCUAUUUUUGGGGUGAGUUUAGUGCACUAGGAUAACAAAGGAAAUGUGGAUGGAUUCCUGUAUGAGUGAAAUCCCAGAACGAAUUUCCAUAGGAUGAAAAUGUGGUCGCUUCUGGUGUAGAGAAUCCAGUAUCUUUAGUUGAAAAAGAAGUGUCUCCUAUUCUUGAUGAAAAAGCUGUAUGUGUGAUGGAUGUUCACUGUGCAACACCGGUUGAAAGCUGCAGUGCAAGCCAGAUUGAACAAAAACCCGUGAGUAAUAAUGCCAAUCAAGAAACAGGGAAUAGUUCUCAGUUAGAUAGUUUACGGGGCCAGGAGGAGUCAAUUAUAAUUAUAAAAGGGUGGAGAUGAGGUUUUCCUUAAAAGUAUUCUAACCCAACGGAGAUUGUAGCAAAAGAAUGGGUGGUAAAGAGAUUGGAAAGAGAUGGUGUGGGGUAAAUGCUCAAGUACCAAUAAAAAGAGAUGAAAUGUUGGUGAGACCAUAUGGAUUAUCUUCUACAAUUGCAGAUUGUAUUGGUGCAAUGAUCGCAUGGCCUUGUCCUUUCAUCUCGGUGGUCUGUGAGGAUUGAGGAAACAUGAUAACAUGGGAUUCUGUGCUAGCUUCGUGUUUCUUUCAUUCCUUUUAAUUUCUUUUGUUAGAUUUUACAAGACUUUAUAUUGAAUAAUGUUAUAGCUUUUUUAUGUUUAAUGGGUUUGUAAUGAUCAUGCGUAUUUGAAAUAUAAUAAAAUUUUAUUUCUUCAGGUUA